AUACGGAGGGUGCAAGCGUUACUCGGAAUUACUGGGCGUAAAGGACGCGUAGGCGGUUUAGAAAGUCAGAUGUGAAAGCCUAUGGCUUAACCAUAGAACUGCAUUUGAAACUUCCAAACUAGAGUGGGGGAGAGGUCAGUGGAAUUAGUGGUGUAGGGGUAAAAUCCGUAGAGAUCACUAGGAAUACUCAUUGCGAAGGCGACUGACUGGAACUUAACUGACGCUGAGGCGUGAAAGCGUGGGGAGCAAACAGAAUUAGAAACCCGGGUAGUCC
RNAcentral lists this ribosomal RNA (274 nucleotides) under uncultured bacterium. RNAcentral describes it as "partial 16S ribosomal RNA". It matches the Rfam family "Bacterial small subunit ribosomal RNA", at positions 523 to 796 of the family's 1533-position model. The record is from RNAcentral.